AUGUCUCCCCUUUGCCACACCUUUUCUCCUCUUCGUCGCAUCGUCCUCUUCCUCCAGCACGCCUCCUCUUCCUCCCCCCUCCUCCUCGCUAAAACCCUAGCCCCGCCCAGCGCUCCGCCUCCAAGCUCCUCGCCGCCGGCCGAUAUCCCCGACGGUUCCUGGGCCAGGGCCGGCGUCCCUUGUCUCCACGCGAUGGCGAGCCGCGGGAAGAAGGGCGGGGGGAAGGGGGCGGAGGACCUGGGCCGCGCGCUCAUACGGCAGCAGAACAGGGCGGCGGCCGCCGCCAAGGAGCGGGGCGAGGCGCUCGCCUCCUCCUCCCGCCGCCGCGCGCCGCCCCUCGAGUCGGUCAUCGACGUCAGCGAGAUCGACGCCGUCCUCCAGCGCGCCGCCGAGGAGGACCGCCUCCAUUCCGCCCUCGCCGCCGCCGCCUCCGCCUCCUCCUCCAACCUCAUCAUCGACCUGGAUGCGACGGGGGAGACAGCCGAGGAGAGGCGAAGGCUUCGGAAGGAGCAAGAGGCGCUGCACGCCAACAGCCUGGGGGUUCCAAGGCGUCCGCCGUGGACUAAUCGGAUGACCGCGGAGGAGCUCGACACGAGCGAGCGGCAGGCGUUCCUUGAGUGGCGGAGGAAUCUUGCGAGAUUGGAAGAGAAUGAUAAGCUUGUCCUUACACCUUUCGAGAAGAACAUUGACAUCUGGAGACAGCUCUGGAGAGUAAUUGAACGCAGUGAUUUGCUGGUCAUGGUAGUUGAUGCUCGAGAUCCCUUAUUCUACCGAUGUCCUGACCUUGAGGUAUAUGCAAAGGAACUUGACGAACACAAGAGAACAAUGCUCCUUGUCAACAAGGCUGAUCUACUACCUUUAAAUAUCAGAAAAAUAUGGGCAGAUUAUUUCAAGGAGCACGAUAUUCUUCAUGUUUUCUGGUCUGCUAAAGCUGCUACUGCCACAUUAGAAGGAAAGAUGUCGAGUGGUGAAGAAAAUUCUGCUUCACCUGAUAUGGAUACCAAGAUAUAUGGCAGGGAAGAGCUUUUGAUGAGGUUGCAAGCUGAAGCGAAAUCUAUCGCAGCACAAAGAAGGACGUCAGCUAGUAAAGGGGAACAAGAAGCAAGUUCUACCGAUUCUGUUCCAUCAGUGGCUAAACAUGUAGUUGCUGGAUUUGUUGGUUAUCCAAACGUCGGGAAGAGUUCCACGAUAAAUGCUUUAGUUGGCGAGAAGAAGACCGGUGUCACUCACACACCCGGUAAGACGAAACAUUUCCAGACAUUGAUAAUCUCUGAAGAGCUCAUGCUGUGUGAUUGUCCUGGUCUGGUCUUCCCUUCAUUCUCAAGCUCGAGGCAUGAGAUGGUGUCAUGCGGUGUCUUGCCGAUCGAUCGGAUGACAAAGCACAGGGAAGCCAUACAAGUGGUGGCAGAUCGUGUCCCAAGAGACGUCCUGGAGCAGAUUUACAAAAUCACCUUGCCGAAGCCAAAGCCAUACGAAUCACAAUCCCGGGCACCGACUGCAGCCGAGCUGUUGCGGGCAUACUGCGCGUCUCGGGGCCAUGUCAGCCAUGGCGGGCUGCCUGACGAGACCAGGGCUGCUAGGCAGAUACUCAAGGACUACAUCGACGGCAAAAUCCCGCACUAUGAACUCCCUCCUGGUGUUGUCACGGAUGAUGAAGUAGAAGCAAGAGAAUCUACCGUUGCAGCAGCAGCAGAAGGCCCGACUGCUUCAGCAGCUGACGAAUCUGGCAGUGAGGACUCCGAUGAACAGGAUGGUAGAACAGGAGGUCCAGACAUGAGGCUGCUCUUGAGUGACCUCGAGUCUUUCGACUUGGCCGCCACCGAAGGAUCCAAUGUCACUGGAAAGAAGAAGCAGCACCAGGCAUCACAGAAGCAGCACAGGAAACCCCAGCGGAAGAAGGACCGGUCCUGGAGGGCUAGCAACGAUGGCAGCGAUGGGACGGCGGUGGUAAGGGACUUCCAGAAGCCCACCGUCAGUACUCCCACGGUCAGCGUGAGCGGAAAUGUUUAG
RNAcentral lists this ribosomal RNA (2010 nucleotides) under Triticum aestivum (bread wheat). RNAcentral's name for it is "partial small subunit ribosomal RNA". Lineage: Eukaryota; Viridiplantae; Streptophyta; Magnoliopsida; Poales; Poaceae. The record is from RNAcentral.